AUCCUUAAGGAAACUAUUUAAGGUGCUCCCUGCCCGGUGGAAGGUUUUUAACGGCCGCAGUAAUUACUGUGCUAAGGUAGCGUAAUCAUUUGGCUUAUAAUUGAAGUCUUGUAUGAAUGGGGGAACGUGGAGAAGCUUUCUUUAUCAUAUUUUGCUGAACUYGCCAUUUUGGUGAAAAAGCCAAAUUAUAAGAAAAAAGACGAUAAGACCCUAAGAGUUAUUCCUUUUCUUUUAACUUUGGAAUUAAAGGGUUUGUUGGGGCGACACUUAGGCAGGAAGUAACAACCCUAAGAAUUUAGCUUUAUUCAGCCGGAGCUUUCAAGAGUUAUUAACUACCUUAGGGAUAACAGCAUAAUUUUUUAUUAGCUUAUGACCUCGAUGUUGGACUAGAAUUUAAGGCGAUCAGCAAUUGCCUAUUAUAGCUCUGUUCGAGCUGAGUGUGUUCU
This 446-nucleotide ribosomal RNA is filed under the name Babella caelatior. RNAcentral's name for it is "partial 16S ribosomal RNA". It matches the Rfam family "Bacterial large subunit ribosomal RNA", at positions 1829 to 2597 of the family's 2925-position model. Lineage: Eukaryota; Metazoa; Mollusca; Gastropoda; Pyramidellidae. The record is from RNAcentral.